GUCUGAGAGUCCAUCAGCCGCGUUGACCAGAUCCAGUUGGCUAAUCCGGGAAGGUAAGCCACGAAAUCGCGACGUAGACCAACCUGGAGCUGAUUUCCAAAGAAAUUUUUCGUCGCAGGUGUCUCCAGUAAGAGUGAGUCAUAAACGCCACGCUGUCGAGACUUCGAUUUUAUGAGGUUGUUGCACGAGUACUCGAAAUCGUUUUCACCGUUGGUAUUUGGACGAAAGGUAAACAAUUUCAUCCUUUUCGUACUUGUCGUCGUGAUUUUUGUACGGUACGGUAUUUACCGAAGCGAUCGGUCAUUCAUCGUUCUCUUAAGAAGUUUUGCGAUUCGCAUUUAUAUGCAAAAAAAAAAAAAGAAACGACGAAAACACUGGAUAUAAAACGAGAGCGUUAAAAUUAAAUUCGGCAAUAAGAGAAUCUUGUUACUUUCGUUAUCACGUAUCCGAACGCCUAGCGUUUUGCCUAACAAGGAAGUUACAUAAAAAGUAAGGGGAUUCAGACCCGGGAAACUUUGUCUCCGGCAUUUUCGCAAUCUUCGGGAACAGUAUCGCGGCCUGGAAUUUUGCAAUUCAGUGCGCCGAAAGACGUUGCACAUUAGUCCGUGAUACCGCGAAUACGCAAUUUGCAUAUCACAAUAUGCAAACCAAAUUCGCGGCAUAUUCGAAGAGAACGAUACCGCGGUUCCUAGGCUCUCGAGCAGGCGUGGAUCCGUGGUGAAACUAACGGAUCUUCCGCAUUUGCCGCCGAGAACUCCUUGUUUGUUGAUCUCUCAACCCUUUGCACUCGAGAGGUGACUCCCAGUCAUCGCUAGAUUUUCUUUAGAUUCCUUAGAUUUUAAAGUUCUUUGGAAUCCAAAGUGCCGAUAAAAUGAUUGUCGUUGAGGCAAACGUGACCUGACUCUCAGAUUAGAGAUCUCAUUUUCGAAGUCAAUGUAAUCAUUCGUGGCAAUAGGAUGCUAAGAAAGCGUCUCGAGUUGCUGGUAGAUACCAGAAAAAAAGGCCUCGAGUGCAAAGGGUUAAUUUAACCACUAGUCCGAAGCAUGAAAGAAUUUCUGUUUCAAGAACAGCACCGGCCAUGCAUAAUCGUUGCCAUUAAUGCGUCGAUUGCUAGUCGACGUAAGACGCGUAUCUAAAGUUGAUUUAUGCCCUAAUAUUCGAUAACGCGUCGAAUUAUACGAGGAGCGUUCGAUUCGCGGGAUCGGUGACAUUCAGAUAGAGCCAUCGAUAAGAUUGAAAAGGAGGACGUUAACGCGAAACGAACAGGAUGGGGGAUCGUUGGCUAGGAGAACCGCUCUACCGUGAGCUGUCAAUCACUUUAAAGAGAUAUCAGUCAUGCGUACGGACGAAGAUUCGCUCAGACGUCAUCGGGGUCAAUUGCGAGCGAGUUCAACGAGUAGAAUCGAAUCAGCACGAUCCAAUAUGAGGGUCCGUUCAAUCUUCGUGCCCGCGGUCAUUCCCCAAUGGGAAGGAUGUUAAUUUCUCAUGUUCUUUCUACAUCGUCCGCGAUACUUUCCAUCUUCCAUUCCUCGGGUUAUCGAUCUCGAGUUGACGUUAUUGUUUCUCGUCGCAUAGAACUUGUUUCGUUAGCUCUGUUCCCAUAUGAUAUAUUAGUUUGAAAGAAAAAAAAAAAAAAAUACCGAUUCGUGGGUAACGGAGCACUUGUUUAUACAAAAGCGGAUACAAGUUGGUCCAGAGAGCUGGAUCAUAGCGGGAGUCAUCGUCAUUGUUAUCCCAGGCCCCAUAAUAAAACGAGGGACUCGAAGCGAGGCAAUUCUUCCGAAUAAAUUUCGGCUGCUCGACGUAGACUUGGAAAAAUACACCGGGGCUUGCGGGAGAAAGAAAAACCUCGCCGACAAAUCUUCCACUUCCGCGGCUUUUACUUCGAAAGAAGCCAUCGCGACAUUACCUACCGAACCUUCAGCCGUUCCCUUCUGAGUCGUAUGUAAAUGCUGCCAGGCUAAAACUGGAACAGCGAUACCAAUUCAGCAAAGUUUCCUCGUCCCUCCGUUGAAUUCGAG
Long non-coding RNA from Hylaeus anthracinus, 2021 nucleotides. RefSeq lists it as uncharacterized. Lineage: Eukaryota; Metazoa; Arthropoda; Insecta; Hymenoptera; Colletidae. The transcript is spliced from 3 exons. The record is from RefSeq and is a predicted model, not a curated record.